This 1430-nucleotide small RNA is filed under the name Leptographium sp. Its description in RNAcentral is "eukaryotic LSU rRNA". The stretch from base 542 to 1430 matches the Rfam family "Eukaryotic large subunit ribosomal RNA", at positions 1 to 917 of the family's 3401-position model. Lineage: Eukaryota; Fungi; Ascomycota; Sordariomycetes; Ophiostomatales; Ophiostomataceae. The record is from RNAcentral. RNAcentral also lists the same sequence under 1 other name.
UUAUAGAGUUUUUAACUCCCAACCCGUGUGAACUAUACCUAUGUUUUUGCUGUACUGUUGCUUUUGGCCGGUGGUUUCCUGGCAACAGGGGGCCCGCAAGGCUGUCAGGCGCUCUUUUAGGGCGUCUCGGCACCGGCCAAAGGUAGCCGUUUCGGCUGUUUAUUUAAACGCUUGCUUGCAAUGGCUCGUCUGAGCACUAAAGAAAAGACAAAUAGUCAAAACUUUCAACAACGGAUCUCUUGGUUCUGGCAUCGAUGAAGAACGCAGCAAAACGCGAUAAGUAAUGUGAAUUGCAGAAUUUAGUGAAUCAUCAAAUCUUUGAACGCACAUUGCGCCUGCCAGUAUUCUGGCAGGCAUGCCUGUCCGAGCGUCAUUUCCACCCUCAGGCGCUUCUUGCGUCUGCUGUUGGGGCUUUCUGCGGCCUAGCCGCAGGCCUCGAAAGCAAGUGGCGGGCUGGCUGGUCGGCUCCGAGCGCAGUAAUUUUUCUUCGCUUUGGAUGCCCCCGCUUGCGCCUUGCCGUAAAACCUUUUAUUUUUUAGGUUGACCUCGGAUCAGGUAGGACUACCCGCUGAACUUAAGCAUAUCAAUAAGCGGAGGAAAAGAAACCAACAGGGAUUGCCCCAGUAACGGCGAGUGAAGCGGCAACAGCUCAGAUUUGGAAUCUGGCCCCCAGGGCCCGAGUUGUAAUCUGGAGAGGAUGCUUCUGGCGCGGCGCCUUCCGAGUUCCCUGGAACGGGACGCCGGAGAGGGUGAGAGCCCCGUACGGUUGGACGCCUAGCCUUUGUGAAGCUCCUUCGACGAGUCGAGUAGUUUGGGAAUGCUGCUCAAAAUGGGAGGUAAAUUUCUUCUAAAGCUAAAUACCGGCCAGAGACCGAUAGCGCACAAGUAGAGUGAUCGAAAGAUGAAAAGCACUUUGAAAAGAGGGUCAAACAGUACGUGAAAUUGUUGAAAGGGAAGCGCCCGUGGCCAGACUUGUGCCCCGCGGACCACCCGGCGCCCUCAGCGCCGGUGCACUCCGCGGGGCGCAGGCCAGCAUCGGUUUUCCUAGGGGGAUAAAGGCGGCGGGAACGUGGCUCCCUCGGGAGUGUUAUAGCCCGCCGCGCCAUGCCCCUGGGGGGACCGAGGACCGCGCUUCGGCAAGGAUGCUGGCGUAAUGGCCACCGGCGACCCGUCUUGAAACACGGACCAAGGAGUCAAGCAUUGGGGCGAGUGUCUGGGUGCCAAACCCGCACGCGAAAUGAAAGUGAACGCAGGUGAGAGCUUCGGCGCAUCAUCGACCGAUCCUGAUGUUCUCGGAUGGAUUUGAGUAAGAGCCUUACCGCUUGGACCCGAAAGAUGGUGAACUAUGCCUGUAUAGGGUGAAGCCAGAGGAAACUCUGGUGGAGGCUCGCAGCGGUUCUGACGUGCAAAUCGAUCGUCAAAUAUGGGCA